AAGCGAUUAACUCAAUUGGUAGAGUAUCUCGCUUACAACGAGGAAGUUAGUGGUUCGAGUCCGCUAUCGCUUA
Molecule: transfer RNA, 73 nt
Filed under: Nitzschia ovalis
Lineage: Eukaryota; Bacillariophyta; Bacillariophyceae; Bacillariales; Bacillariaceae
Description: tRNA-Val
Rfam family: tRNA
About the family: Transfer RNA (tRNA) molecules are approximately 80 nucleotides in length. Their secondary structure includes four short double-helical elements and three loops (D, anti-codon, and T loops).
Source: RNAcentral